UGGGGAAUAUUGGACAAUGGGCGAAAGCCUGAUCCAGCCAUGCCGCGUGUGUGAAGAAGGUCUUCGGAUUGUAAAGCACUUUAAGUUGGGAGGAAGGGCAGUAAGCGAAUACCUUGCUGUUUUGACGUUACCGACAGAAUAAGCACCGGCUAACUCUGUGCCAGCAGCCGCGGUAAAACAGAGGGUGCAAGCGUUAAUCGGAAUUACUGGGCGUAAAGCGCUCGUAGGUGGUUCGUUAAGUUGAAUGUGAAAGCCCCGGGCUCAACCUGGGGACUGCAUCCUAAACUGGCGAGCUAGAGUAGGGCAGAGGGUGGUGGAAUUUCCUAUGUAGCGGUGAAAUGCGUAGAUAUAGGAAGGAACACCAGUGGCGAAGGCGACCACCUGGGCUCAUACUGACACUGAGGUGCGAAAGCGUGGGGAGCAAACAGG
Molecule: ribosomal RNA, 429 nt
Filed under: Pseudomonadota bacterium
Lineage: Bacteria; Pseudomonadati; Pseudomonadota
Description: Proteobacteria bacterium partial 16S ribosomal RNA
Rfam family: Bacterial small subunit ribosomal RNA
Source: RNAcentral